CUCGAUUCCUCUCCACUCAUAUCUCUUUUUCUUUCUAUCUCCUUCAUGGAGUCGCAGCGCAUGCCUCCAUCUUACCCUCUACAUCCCAAAAUCCACAGAAAUGCGAAAAUAAGUCUGUCGUGGCCAUGGGCGAGAAGUCAUCUGAGGAACAGAAGAAUUUGCUUCGAAUCCAGGAUCAGCUAUUACACUUGUUUCUUCUACCAGCAGCAAGAGCAGAAUUCGCUAUUUAGUAGGAAAAGUUACACUAAAAGGACGAAGAAAUGUUUCGCACAACUGAGAGAAGAACCUACCGGUAUAGCUAGGAAGGGAAGUAUUGCCGGCGCUGUUGCUCUCAUUAUUGGCACCAGUAUUGGGUCAGGGAUACUUGCACUGCCACAGAAGGCUUCCCCCGCAGGACUAGUUCCGAGUUCAAUUUCAAUGAUAAUAUGUUGGGCAUUUCUCUUAAUUGAGGCGCUUGUGCUUGUCGAAGUCAAUGUGGCGCUGCGGAGAAAGAAGAGGAAGAAAGAGGAAGAGAAAGAGUUAGAGGUCAUUUCUAUUAGGACAAUGGCCCAAGAGACGCUAGGAGACUGGGGUGGAACUGUAGCCACCGUGACCUAUCUUUUCUUGGGCUACACUUCCAUUAUUGCUUAUAGUUCCAAGUCUGGAGAGAUCCUUUUCCAUUUGAUCAAUUUUCCGGCCUCGUUUUCAGGCUUCUUCUUCACUGUAAUCUUUACCAUGCUCAUCUCCAUUGGCGGGACUCGUGUCACAGAUCAAGUCAACCAAUGGCUCACAACUUCCAUGAUAGGUCUGCUUCUGGCAAUUGAGGUGCUAGCAGUUAUUUAUGGAGGGUGGUCGGGAUUGGAGGGAAGCGGUAACUGGGGGAAAGUUCCAGAUACGAUUCCUGUCAUUAUUUUUUCUUUAGUUUAUCAUGAUCUAACACCUGUUCUUUGCGCUUAUUUGGGUGGUGACCUUACACGCAUAAGGACUUCAAUUUUGCUUGGUAGUCUUUUUCCGUUGCUGGCAUUGCUUGUAUGGGAUGCAGUUGCACUUGGUCUCUCUGCCCCGGCCGACCAAGUUGUUGACCCCGUGGAAUUGCUCAUGAGGGUAAAAUGGAGCGGGGUAUCGCUUAUGGUUGAGGCUUUCUCCCUCUUUGCGGUCGGAACAUCGCUAAUUGGCACACUACUGGGAUUCUCUGAGUUCUUCAAGGAGCAACUUAAUAACUUUUCAUGGCAGCCUUCUUCAACACCAAAAAUACAGAGACUAAACAAUGUUUUCAAUCUGAGAAAAUGGUGGGGAAGGAAUAAAAUUAGCUUCAUGGCUAUGACAAUGGCUGUUGCUCCAUCUCUUUUUGUGUCAACUACCGUUCCAGAUGCAUUCUCAGCGGCCACUGACAUUGCUGGAGGCUACUGUAUGACGAUGCUUUAUGGAGUUCUUCCACCCGCAAUGGCAUGGAAGAUGCUUAACAGAGAAGCCGAGGAUACUGAAAGCAAAGCAUUUUCAAAAGCAAGGCCAGUACUGCUUGGAGUAGGAUUAUUUGCAUGCGGUAUAGUGGUAGAGCAAAUCCUGCAGGAUAUCAUAUCAUUCCAUUCCUAGCGGCUAUUAUAUUGGCAACAAGAUGCACAACAUACUCUGCCGAAGCAACUCCUGUGUCUUCAGGUGAUGGAUCUUUGCCUCUGUUUCUUGCUCCAGCCUCUUCACAAUGGCAUCUGAAUCCCCAUAGCUCUGCUUGGUGAUACAUUGGUAGAAGGCAUAUCCAGUUAUGAAAAUUCGUCCCCGGAUUGACAAGGUAUACAAUGAUCAUAAAAUACCCACUGUUAAACAUGAAGUUUUCGAUGAAUCAUAUACUUACCUCCACAACCUCAAGUUC
Juglans regia (Persian walnut) is the source of this 1846-nucleotide RNA transcript. It is a transcript of the gene named tyrosine-specific transport protein-like, with no coding region annotated. Lineage: Eukaryota; Viridiplantae; Streptophyta; Magnoliopsida; Fagales; Juglandaceae. The record is from RefSeq and is a predicted model, not a curated record. The transcript has 9 exons.